UUGGAGGGCAAGUCUGGUGCCAGCAGCCGCGGUAAUUCCAGCUCCAAUAGCGUAUAUUAAAGUUGUUGCAGUUAAAAAGCUCGUAGUUGAAUUUCGGGAUCAAUUUGUUGGUCGUGCCUCGGUACGUACUGGCAUUAUUGGUUUCUACCUUCUGAAGAACCUUGAUGUCAUUAAUUUGGUGUCUUGGGGAAUCAGGACUGUUACUUUGAAAAAAUUAGAGUGUUUAAAGCAGGCAUACGCUUGAAUACAUUAGCAUGGAAUAAUGAAAUAGGACGUUUGAUUCUAUUUUGUUGGUUUCUAGGAUCGACGUAAUGAUUAAUAGGGAUAGUUGGGGGCAUUAGUAUUCAAUUGUCAGAGGUGAAAUUCUUGGAUUUAUUGAAGACUAACUACUGCGAAAAGCAUUUGCCAAGGAUGUUUUCAUUAAUCAAGAACGAAAGUUAGGGGAUCGAAGACGAUCAGAUACCGUCGUAGUCUUAACCAUAAACUAUGCCGACUAGGGAUCGGGAUGAUGUUAUUUUAAUGACUCAUUCGGCG
This 534-nucleotide ribosomal RNA is filed under the name Septoglomus sp. RNAcentral's name for it is "SSU rRNA". It matches the Rfam family "Eukaryotic small subunit ribosomal RNA", at positions 548 to 1085 of the family's 1831-position model. Lineage: Eukaryota; Fungi; Glomeromycota; Glomeromycetes; Glomerales; Glomeraceae. The record is from RNAcentral.